This 3686-nucleotide long non-coding RNA is filed under the name Sus scrofa (pig). RNAcentral's name for it is "lncRNA (ENSSSCG00035047030.1)". The record is from RNAcentral. Lineage: Eukaryota; Metazoa; Chordata; Mammalia; Artiodactyla; Suidae.
AUAGGGCUGCACCUGCGGCAUAUGGAAGUUACUAGGCUAGGGGUCGAAUCAGAGCUGUAGCUGCUGGCCUACACCACAGCCACAGUAACACCAGAUCCAAGCUGCGUCUGUGACCUACACCACAGUUUGUGGCAAUGCUGGAUCCUUAACCCAUUGAGCGAGGCCAGGGAUCAAACCCAUGUCCUCAUGGAUACUAGUCUGGUUGGUUACCACUGUGCCACGACAGGAACUCCCACGUAGGUAUUCUUGUCACCAAUUUAGAUGAAGAAUCUGAGCUGGAAAAUAUUAAAUAACUUAAGUAAUAUUACAAAGCAAAUCGUGGGGUCUCCUUGGUCUAUGAACCCCAAAGCUUAUGGUCUUUCACCUCUAAUAUGUCUCCUUCAAUCACCUAGUAAGUUAAAACCUAUUCUAGGAGUAGAAGUAAAACAUUUCCUGGCCUUGAUCAAUUCUUCUUACUUGCCAGCUAUUUUUGAAUAUGAAUAUUCUCUGCUUGUUUUUUUUUUUUUUAAUAGACUCAUAGGUGAACAGCAACGAGGAAAGGCAGAUGAGGACUCCUCAGGAAAAACGACACAAACCUGAGCAAUAAGGUAGAAUAUAACAUUUGUAUAAAUUAUCCAAGGAGUUUCUGUUGUGGCGCAGCAGAAAUGAAUCCGACUAGUAUCCAUGAGGAUGUGGGUUCAAGGCCUGGCUUUAGUCAGUGGGUCAGGGAUCCGGUGUUGCCAUGAGCUGUGGUGUAGGUUGCAAACAUGGUUCGGAUCCCACAUUGCUGGACCUCUGGUGUAUGUAGGCUGGCAGCUGUAGCUCCAAUUCAACCCCUAGCCUGGGAACUUCCAUAUGCUAUGGGUGGGGCCCUAAAAAGUGGGGGAAAAAAAAAAAGAGAAAAAAAAAUUAUCCAUGCCAUUGUUUCUCUCCAUGGAGUAUAUUGUAUUUCCCAUAUGUGGUUUGAGUAGGUUUCCUAGAGUAGAUUGAUCCCCAGUGGUAUCUUGAAUGAUAGGAGAAAAAAAAUAGCUUAGCAUUUGGUAAAGAGAUCUAAUUUGCAGACUGAAAAGCCAGUGGUAUUGAAGGAACUAACACAAAUUAAAAAAAAAGCAAACUUGGAGUUCCCGUUGAGGCUCAGUGGAAACAAAUCUGAAUAGCAUCCAUGAGGACACAGGUUCAAUCUGGGGCCUUGCUCAGUGGGUUAAGGAUCUGGUUUUGCCAUGAGCUGUGGUAUAGGUCGCAGACAUGGCGUGGAUCCCACGUCGCUGUGGCUGUGGUGUAGGCCAGAGGCUACAGCUCCGAUUUGACCCCUAGCCUGGGAACCUCCUUAUGCUGAGGGUGCAACCCUAAAAAGAUUUUAAAAAAAGAUCAAACUUGGAUGACUAAUAGAGUGAAGAAAGAGCCAUUGCAAUGUGAUGAAACCCCAGUCCCCUGUCCUGUGAUUAACUAGUUGUGGAGAAAAAAAGGCUUGUAUAAAUAAGUUUACCAAGGGACUUGUUAGGAGGCCCCUUGUUUCUGUCUCUGUGUAUUGAGAUGAGACUUCUCGCUCAAAAUAAGAUGAUAAUACUUGCCGCAUUCAAAUAAGUGCCAACAGACACCUAUUUUUUUACAUAUGUAUGCUACAUUUAUAACAGAACACUUUAAAAUAUUAGUCAUUGCACACAUCACAAAGAGAAACAGGAAACUGUUCAAACCUUCACGAGUGAAGGAGACACACAUGACUAGACCCCACCCACCCCCAGCUGAGGUGUACUCACCACUCACCGUCUGGCCAGGCAGGUUCUAGGUUGUGCCUGUUUGAGGUUUCUGGUUCUGUUUUUCCUAGACACAUUCACUCAGAGGGACGUUUCCCUUAAACUUCUGUAAGGCAACUUCAACCCAACUUUUUAAUUAUCUUGCUGAGAACUUCCACAUAAAAUUUUCAAAAUAAUCUCCUAAAUAUCCGCUUUUCUAUGAGGCUGUUCCUGGCUCCAAUACCUUUUCCCAAUACCUGGGUGUUGACUCUUGGGCACAACUUUUUUAUAGUCAUUUUUGUACAUCUCAUUCCUUCUACUGUUUUAAACAUUCCUUGAUGAAAUUCUUCUUAUACUUUACAGUUUAACCCCUGAGUUUGACUUUAAGGUCUUUUUCUUUCUUUUUUAAAUUUUUUUAAAAUUUUUUUAUUAUUAUUAUUUUUUAAUCUACACUCUCCCUAGAUGAUCUCAUCCACUCUGUGGUUCCAUGUUACCAUAUACUCUAUAUGUCAUAUUGUGUGAAUAUCAGUAUGAUAUCCAAGAGGGGUUUAUAGAAACUUAAGCUCAGAUCUCUCUCCUGAUAUUAACCUGUAUCUUCAAUGUCCUACUAGGCAUCUCAACUUGGAUGUCACCUUGGUAUUUCACACUCAUCAUCUUCUGUAUGUUCCUCAUCCUUCUAUCCCUCAAAUCUAUUUCUCCCUCUGUGAUUUUGAUGUCAACAAAUGGCACCCCCAUGUACUUACUCUUCCAACUCAGAAACUAGAGUGUCAUCCUUAAUUUAUCAUUUUUCUUCCCUACCUACACACAAUCAAUCACCAGUCCAGCACUUCUACCUUUUAAAUAUCUUUGGAGUCUAUGCAGUCUCAUAGCAUCAACCACCAGUUUGCUUUUCCAGGAUUCACUGCAGUCGCUUCUACUUCCAGCCUGGCAUCCCUCCAACCUAAUCUCAUGCGGAAGUCCAAGCGGUUUUGCAAACCUAACCAUGUCACUCCCCAGUAGAAUCUUCAUUGGUUAUUAUUUCCCUUGGGAUAAAUUUAAAUUCCCUGAAUCAAAAAGCAAAGCCCUAAUAUCUGAUUCUACUCAUCUCUCGAGUUUUAUCUCUUGCUAUGUCCCUAUUCUCAUCCUAUACUCCAGCCAUAUUGAGCAUGCAAUUUCCUGAAGGUAACCAUUGAUAAUUAUUCUCUCCCUUUCCCUUAUCUCUUUCUGACUCUCCUUUGGCCUCUUCCUCUUGUCCAUUUGUCUGUGGGUUUCUCUUUACUCUCUCCUCCAGGAGUUUGUAGAUGCCCUCCCUCUGCUUAGCACACACUUUCUGUCUUCCUUUCUCACUUUUCCGCAUUCAUCAAAUUUACUUUGAUUUAUCUUUUUGGACUCAACUGAGAUGUCACUUCUACCAGAAUACUUUUUCUCACUUCAUCACUAAAUUAUGUUCCCCUUCUAUUUAGUUUCCCAGCAUUUUACUCUUACAUUUAUAGUAAUAACUACCAUGUUUUAAUCCUAAACAUUUGUUUUCUUCCUCCCUGUAAGGUAAUUUCCUUGAGUACACAUCCUGUGUCAUAUUCAAUAUUAUGUCCUAGGCACCAAAUGUGACAAAUUGGAAGUAUUAAAUAAAUGAAUGACUUCCCUAUAGUACUUAGAAAAGCGGCUUGCUGGCAGCAGGCAUUCUAAUCCCUUAAGUUUUAAAUGAUUUUAUUAGUGAAUGCUGUAACAGUAACCAAACAUGCACAAAAGUAAGAGAUGGAAUAGAAAGAAAAGGGGCAAAGCUUAUGGUCCUUUCCCAAACUUUCCAAGUAGACUCAAAUUUAAUGUUGGAAAUGAAGUCAUCUGCAUAUUCAGUCCUCUUAAAGCCUCAUCCUACAGGCUGAUUCUGUACACAUUUGCUAAACCUUUCCAAGGACACAAAGUGACCUUGCCAAGAAUCCCAGCAUAAAUAAUGUUCAUGGGGCCAGAUCCUAGAACGAAAAUGUGAAUAUGUUG